RNAcentral lists this long non-coding RNA (467 nucleotides) under Malus domestica (apple). RNAcentral describes it as "long non-coding RNA (MDOM_LNC006294)". Lineage: Eukaryota; Viridiplantae; Streptophyta; Magnoliopsida; Rosales; Rosaceae. The record is from RNAcentral.
CGAAGUUAUUGUUUCUGCUUCCGAUGAUGAAUGGUUCUUCAGCAAAGCUGGUGGCAAUUACAACAAUACUGUUGCUUCUGAUGGGGGAUUUACAAGCAACUUGUGGACUACUUCCUCAUGGUAUAACUAAUAAUUAUCUUCCUUUUGUUAGAUCUCCAAGCAUUAGCAUUAGCUACGUAAAUCGACUUAGUUUUUACCAAUUUUAUUAUUUGGGAACUAAUUUCUUGCUCCUUGUGUUUUUCUCAUAUAAUUGAACAAGGUUGCUUUGAAUGUCAAAGUGAUAUUUUGAGCACGAAAGUGCCCGUUCGCCGCAUCCUAAGAUCAUACGGUGGGCCGCAGCCACCUGCACCUGAUAGGAAUGUAAUACACACUCCGUACGAUCAGACUUGAUGCCCCCCUACCCCCAUCCCGCGGCCCCCUCCGUCCUUCUUUUCUUGUAUUUUUAUUUGUUUUUUUAAUAAAAGUUU